CCGGGGUUUUACGAAACCGACGAAAGGGUUAAGGUUACGUACCCUAACCGACGAAGGGGGGCGCUACCACGGUGAGAUUCAUGACUGGGGUG
RNAcentral lists this ribosomal RNA (92 nucleotides) under uncultured bacterium. RNAcentral's name for it is "partial 16S ribosomal RNA". The record is from RNAcentral.